UUGCUUCCCUAGCCCUCAGCAGCCUAACUCUACCCUGUCCUCCUUGUUACUCACGGACAGCAGCACCCACGGUUCCCUUUCCUCUUUCUCCAUGAAAGGAAAGGAACAGAAACAGAAAAUCAGAGGUAAAUGGAGACUGAGUCACGGAAUAAGGGAGGAGGAGAGGAGGACCUGCGUCGGCGUGCUGGUCUCACUACCGCCUUUGUCUGACCAAGGAGAGGGAAGAGUUACUCGCGCCAUCACCUGCUGCUGCUACCCAAUCCGCGCCGCCAUGGUCGUCCCGUCCACGGAGCCAUGAAUCGCAACUCUGUCACCGAGAGGAGGGAGGAGACGCGAUGCUGGAGGAGCCGCCCAGUGACUGUUGCAUCGCGCAACCACUACGGCCCAUGUUUUCUUCGUCGUUGCCAGGGGAAUACCGCGCCACCACGCCUCGCCAUCGAACCACCCCACUGCUACCACUGUCACGGAGAAGAGGCGUUGAAGAGGGGCAGAACUCGGGUCUCGUCGCUGCCGACCAUGGGGCCUCGAGCCGCGUCGCUGUCACUGGCAAGAGGGGGAAAACGCGAGCUGGAAGGGCAUGAUGAGUCCUUCUGCCUCCGUUGUUUUGGUCCGCUGAGGAAGGGAAGAUGCUGCCUUGGGGCUUCACGGUCGCCGAGCAGGCUGGGUCACCGUGAUUUGGGCCGCUGAGACUUCCGGGAUUGCCGAUGGAGCUUUGGGCUGAGCUUCUCCCACUUGAGACCCUGCUGCCGCCGCCGGAAAAGUGUGUCGUUGAUCCACCGGAGCUUCUGGCUGCCGCCGGAGUUGUGUUGGGGCCGGUUCGAAAUCGCAGUUGCCUCAUUGUGUUAUUCUGAUAAGAAAUUAUGUUUCGAAUGAUCUCGUGUUAGUAUUCUGUUGUGUUCGGUUAAAGAAUAUGAGUUUUGAUAACAUGGCGUCGAGUCCUGAUUAUUAUAUGUUGCGAUUAGUGUUGCUAUGGUUAUUGCGAAUAUGGCUUGAAGCUGAGGUUGUGGUUGUUUUUGAUUUCGGGUUGAGGUGGAAAGGACUCUGUGACGCGUUUGGGUUAUGGAAUUGCGUUUUGAGGAUAUGGGCGCAGAAGUUACGAAGAAUUUACCUAGUUAUUGUUGUGAUGCUCUGUAUGGCCUUAGUUAUUAUUUAUUGUACCCUCGCCUUUAUCUUGAUAUAUUCUAUAAGAGGGAUAAGAAUUGUACUGGAUAAUGUUUGUAAUAUUAUUUAUAUAUAUGUAUGUAUAUAUAUAUGGAUGUACUCUUUAUGAGUUUCUGUAAGUUGUAUGGUAUGUAUAGACGUACGUUGUAUGGCUAAAGUAAUUUUUGG
Long non-coding RNA from Arachis duranensis, 1329 nucleotides. RefSeq lists it as uncharacterized. The record is from RefSeq and is a predicted model, not a curated record. NCBI's taxonomy places the organism in Eukaryota, Viridiplantae, Streptophyta, Magnoliopsida, Fabales, Fabaceae. The transcript is spliced from 3 exons.